This 221-nucleotide ribosomal RNA is filed under the name uncultured bacterium. RNAcentral describes it as "partial 16S ribosomal RNA". It matches the Rfam family "Bacterial small subunit ribosomal RNA", at positions 96 to 334 of the family's 1533-position model. The record is from RNAcentral.
UGGCGCACGGGUGCGUAACGCGUGGGAAUCUACCCUUAGGUUCGGAAUAACAGUUGGAAACGACUGCUAAUACCGGAUGAUGACGUAAGUCCAAAGAUUUAUCGCCUAGGGAUGAGCCCGCGUAGGAUUAGCUAGUUGGUGUGGUAAAGGCGCACCAAGGCGACGAUCCUUAGCUGGUCUGAGAGGAUGAUCAGCCACACUGGGACUGAGACACGGCCCAG